This 837-nucleotide ribosomal RNA is filed under the name Triticum aestivum (bread wheat). Its description in RNAcentral is "partial small subunit ribosomal RNA". The record is from RNAcentral. Lineage: Eukaryota; Viridiplantae; Streptophyta; Magnoliopsida; Poales; Poaceae.
AUGGCUGUCAGACCAUGGUGGUGCACUGUUGUUUCCUGGGAGGCCUUAGUUGAUGAAUGGUGUGAUGAUAAAUGGAUUGCGACAUCUAAGAAAAAUCGUGAUAAUCGCCUCAACUCUAAGUACAAGGCCCAUAGAGGUGGAUCUAAUUCCUUGACAACAGUUUGCCAAAAACUGGAUUCAUACAAAGAGAAGGUUGUAAGCAUGCAUUGUGAGGACUAUGAUUGGAAGCAUUCUCCUGUUGAACCACAAGCCCUUUAUGAAGUUGGUGGUGGGAAGCCACACGGAAAGUGGCCACUAUUGAAUGGUGUUGUGGAGGGUAAAGAGGCUCUUAGGGAGGUGCAGAUCAAACGCUCUUCGUCUUCGUCAAAGCGCCAACGACUAGAACAUAAUAAAAGGAUUGCCCAACAUAACGAGUUAAUGAAAAGACAUGCACAAAGUAUGGUUGAUUGGGGGAAAUCUGUGCAGACUACAGUGGAGAGUAGCCUUGGUGGUGUGCACAAGUUUCUAAUGACCAUCGCAUCCCUUCAAGGAAUUCCAGGGCCUGAGAUUCCAUGCAUUGUUAUACCCCCACCUCCAGCUUUUCCAACUUUAACCACUUCAUCUCCGAUCUUUUCUCCAGAAAUGCCCUCCACCGGCGAAUCAACACAUGAUGUUGAAAAUAUAGAUAAUACAUUGCGUGGAGCGGAAGAUGGAAUGUUUGGCGGCUUCUUUGAUGAAAAUGGUAAUGAUGCGAAUGGUGUUGUUGCUGGAACUCCCCCCCCCCACCUGGUGAUGAUUUACCUACAUUUUGAGAUAUCUCUCAUCAUGGGAAGAAGUGAUCUGAACUUUUUUGGUUGA